CUUGCUUCUCUUGAGAGCGGCGGACGGGUGAGUAAUGCCUAGGAAUCUGCCUGGUAGUGGGGGAUAACGUCCGGAAACGGACGCUAAUACCGCAUACGUCCUACGGGAGAAAGCAGGGGACCUUCGGGCCUUGCGCUAUCAGAUGAGCCUAGGUCGGAUUAGCUAGUUGGUGGGGUAAUGGCUCACCAAGGCGACGAUCCGUAACUGGUCUGAGAGGAUGAUCAGUCACACUGGAACUGAGACACGGUCCAGACUCCUACGGGAGGCAGCAGUGGGGAAUAUUGGACAAUGGGCGAAAGCCUGAUCCAGCCAUGCCGCGUGUGUGAAGAAGGUCUUCGGAUUGUAAAGCACUUUAAGUUGGGAGGAAGGGCAGUAAAUUAAUACUUUGCUGUUUUGACGUUACCGACAGAAUAAGCACCGGCUAACUCUGUGCCAGCAGCCGCGGUAAUACAGAGGGUGCAAGCGUUAAUCGGAAUUACUGGGCGUAAAGCGCGCGUAGGUGGUUUCGUUUAUUUUGUU
RNAcentral lists this ribosomal RNA (519 nucleotides) under uncultured bacterium. RNAcentral describes it as "bacterial SSU rRNA". It matches the Rfam family "Bacterial small subunit ribosomal RNA", at positions 79 to 594 of the family's 1533-position model. The record is from RNAcentral.